RNAcentral lists this ribosomal RNA (399 nucleotides) under uncultured Romboutsia sp. Its description in RNAcentral is "bacterial SSU rRNA". It matches the Rfam family "Bacterial small subunit ribosomal RNA", at positions 354 to 771 of the family's 1533-position model. The record is from RNAcentral. Lineage: Bacteria; Bacillati; Bacillota; Clostridia; Peptostreptococcales; Peptostreptococcaceae.
GUGGGGAAUAUUGCACAAUGGGCGAAAGCCUGAUGCAGCAACGCCGCGUGAGCGAUGAAGGCCUUCGGGUCGUAAAGCUCUGUCCUCAAGGAAGAUAAUGACGGUACUUGAGGAGGAAGCCCCGGCUAACUACGUGCCAGCAGCCGCGGUAAUACGUAGGGGGCUAGCGUUAUCCGGAAUUACUGGGCGUAAAGGGUGCGUAGGUGGUUUCUUAAGUCAGAGGUGAAAGGCUACGGCUCAACCGUAGUAAGCCUUUGAAACUGGGAAACUUGAGUGCAGGAGAGGAGAGUGGAAUUCCUAGUGUAGCGGUGAAAUGCGUAGAUAUUAGGAGGAACACCAGUUGCGAAGGCGGCUCUCUGGACUGUAACUGACACUGAGGCACGAAAGCGUGGGGAGCAA